Molecule: small RNA, 121 nt
Filed under: Citrobacter freundii
Lineage: Bacteria; Pseudomonadati; Pseudomonadota; Gammaproteobacteria; Enterobacterales; Enterobacteriaceae
Description: MicC RNA
Rfam family: MicC RNA
About the family: MicC (previously known as IS063) is located between the ompN and ydbK genes in E. coli. This family of Hfq-associated sRNA is thought to be a regulator of OmpC expression.
Source: RNAcentral
CGUGUUAUAUGCCUUUAUUGUCACGUUUUAUUUUUCGUUGGUAUAUUGAUGGUAAUUAUUAAUUAGCCAGCGAAUAAAUUGACAAGCCCGAACAACUGUUCGGGCUUUUUUUUUGGUUCCA